CUACUGAUCCGCCAGUCGACUCAUCGCUCUGGUGGGGAGCUUCCCGGAAACGAAAGUCUUCCGGUUCCGGGGGAAGUAUGGUUGCAAAGCUGAAACUUAAAGGAAUUGACGGAAGGGCACCACCAGGAGUGGAGCCUGCGGCUUAAUUUGACUCAACACGGGGAAACUCACCCCGGMCMGGACACCGUAAGGAUUGACAGAUUGAUAGCUUUUUCAUGAUUCGGUGGAUGGUGGUGCAUGGCCGUUCUUAGUUCGUGGAGCGAUUUGUCUGGUUUAUUCCGAUAMCGAGCGAGACUCUGGCCUACUAAAUAGUUGGCACAUUSCCACUGYGUGCACAACUUCUUAGAGGGAUUUUCGGUGUUCAGCCGCACGAAAUUGAGCAAUAACAGGUCUGUGAUGCCCUUAGAUGUCCGAGGCUGCACGCGCGCUACACUGGCAAAAUCAGCGUGCUUGUCCUCCCCCGAAAGGGGUUGGUAAACCGAUGAAAAUUUGCCGUGAUUGGGAUCGGACAUUGCAAUUAUUGUCCGUGAACGAGGAAUCCCUUGUAAGGGCGAGUCAUCAACUCGUCCUGAAUACGUCCCUGCCCUUUGUA
This 592-nucleotide ribosomal RNA is filed under the name Rotylenchulus reniformis. RNAcentral describes it as "SSU rRNA". It matches the Rfam family "Eukaryotic small subunit ribosomal RNA", at positions 1057 to 1684 of the family's 1831-position model. The record is from RNAcentral. Lineage: Eukaryota; Metazoa; Nematoda; Chromadorea; Rhabditida; Hoplolaimidae.